CUCUUGCCUGCGCUUUUCCUUCUCUAAUCAGCUGUGCGGUUUCUCCGGUGAUGGUUGCUUCCGCUGCUGCUCGGUCCGGCUGCCGUCGUCGGGGCCGCUCUCCUGGUAUUCGAGCCGCUGUUAUUGCCCGUGUCCGCCGUGCUGCUGGCCGUCUUUCUUCGCCGGAUUUUCCGUCGCCGGCAAACGCUGGUGCGCGUGGCCGGCUGGCUGAUUCGGGAUGCCGUGUCCGGUCCGGGGCUCACCGGCCGUUUCGUUCUUCCCGGACUGGAGAGCUUUUUUGCCUUUUUGUCGUUGCAGUUUUCUCUGUACAGAUUUUGUGCUACUUCGUCUAGGUUGCCGUCUUCUUGAUUGGUUACUUCAUGCUGUAGGUGUGCACCGAUUAGAUUCGCGGCGAGAUGUUAAUGUGGACGUUGAUAGUCGCCGUCGGGAGAUUUCAUUAGGGAACCGGCCUGUGGAUUGUACCAUUGACACUUCGCCUGUCGAAGUGGUUGACGGAUCGAGUAUUUGUGUUUCUGGUUUUCCUGCUGGUGUUCAUCUUUAUGGCUCCUUGGUUGGUGCUAUGACUUCCCUUUGCCGUCCAAGAGUGGUGCCCUUAUGUGCCGCCGGUACCUUUGGUCGGCCUACUUCUCUUGUGAUGCCUACUCCUGUUACAGAGCACUCUCGUGUUGUGUGUGCUCGCCGUAAGCGGACUUUGGUGUGAUCGUACUGGUCGGGCCGGAAAAGAGUACGUGGGAUGCAACCUCCGUUUUCUAAAGAUUACAUCCAACUGCUUAAGGCUACUUUUAGGGGGCGUUCGUAUUAUGGUGGACCGGAUUUGUGCUGCCGGAAAUGUGGGGCUUUUUUUUAUCCUGAAAUUGUCGCCGCCCUGAUAAAUAUGCCGAAUACACAUCAUCGUUUGGUGGACACGUUCAGAAUUGCUCGAUAGAGUCUGCACCCCUGGUGUUUCUAAGGUGUCCAUUCGUUUUUUUGGUGAUGACGGUGGUGCUCAUGAAACACGUUCUGGUUCAUUGAAGCAUGUAUCUUCACUGAAUUGCAAUCUUAUGGCUUUGCAAUAUCCUAUACUAUUUCCAUAUUGUGAUAAGAGUUAUCAUCGUGGUAUUAGAUAUGUUGAUGGUAAUGAACAUUUGAUUGUUUCCCAAUGCAACUGUGUUAGCUGUGGACACUUGGAUAGCGACAAUGUUGACCGUGAUUUGGAGGAUGGGGAUGUCACCCGUGGUCAGAUUACUAUGUUGGAGUACUACAAAUACUAUGCUCACUAUCGUGAAGGUGAAAUUAAUCCUUAUAUAAGUUGCAGUUGUUUGAGCUAGCAGAUUGCCGUUAAUGCAUAUUCUUGUGUAGAGGCUGAUCGGUUGGAGUACCAUUUCCAUAAACAAGAUAAACUUCAUUCUGAAUCUUAUCGGGGCAUAUCUGAUGCAAUGGGUGUACAAUAAUAAGUGUGCUUGCAUGAAGAAUGAUUGUUGUUCCAAGUGCUUUCCAAAGCCAUUUAGUGAUGAUACAAUGGUUGAUCGUGUUGGCUGUCCGGUUUACCAUCGUUCUGAUAACGGGCUUUAUGUGCUCAGACAGAAGGACUUACUUUAUUUGGGAAAUCAAUGGGUUGUUCCAUACAACAUGAAAUUGUUGAAGAGGUUUGACGCCCUCAUGAAUGUGGAGUGGUGUAACAGGACAAAUUUAUUGAAAUACCUGUUUAAAUAUCUUACAAAGGGUCAUGAUGUGGUUCAUAUGCGUUUCUACGCCCAAGAUAAACCUAGCAGUGUUUUUACUGUGCCUUCUCCUACUGGCAGAAACGAGAUUGACCAGUACAUCAAAUGUACGUUCGCAGAUAGAUUUAGUUAAAUUUAUGUAACUUGUUGUAGUGUUGUUAUAAUUGUUCAACAUAUGGCUAGUAUCUUUCUGCUUGUGAGGCUUUUUGGAGACUGUUUGCAUAUAAUAUUCAUGGUCAUCAACCUUCCGUCGAGAGAUUGGUUGUGCAUAUACCUAAUAUGAACAGGGUCAUAUUUGCCGAGACUGAUAACCUAGGAAAUGUUUUGGAUGAUCCUUCGGCUGCUAAAACUAUGCUUACUGAAUGGUUUGCUGCCACCAAAAGCAUGUGUCUGCUAGGUCUUUAACAUACCUUGAUUUUCCAAGUCAGUGGGUUAGGAAUAAAAGUGGUAAGCUGUGGACUAAACAGAAGAUUAACAAGAAGCAAAAGAAAGAGCAGCUGAAAUGGCUUUAGAAGAUUUUCAAAAGGAUAGUUUCAGAGAAUCAUCCAUAACAUACGAAGGAGAACCAGCAAAUACAGAAGAUGGAGUAAAAGAAAAAGUGGCUGAAAUGGCUUUAGAAUGUAUUUGUGCAGAUUAUAAUAUUUCCGUCAAUGAUCAUAAUUACUAUGCUCUUGAAGUUACAAAGGAAAAAACUUUUUGCAGAGCACAAACAAA
Molecule: non-coding RNA, 2414 nt
Organism: Triticum urartu
Lineage: Eukaryota; Viridiplantae; Streptophyta; Magnoliopsida; Poales; Poaceae
Source: RefSeq, a predicted model, not a curated record